Molecule: ribosomal RNA, 468 nt
Filed under: uncultured bacterium
Lineage: Bacteria
Description: partial 16S ribosomal RNA
Rfam family: Bacterial small subunit ribosomal RNA
Source: RNAcentral
GACGAACGCUGGCGGCGUGCUUAACACAUGCAAGCCGAACGGAAAGGCCCUGCUUUUGUGGGGUGCUCGAGUGGCGAACGGGUGAGUAACACGUGAGUAACCUGCCCUUGACCUUGGGAUAACUUCAGGAAACUGGGGCUAAUACCGGAUAGGAGCUCCUGCUGCAUGGUGGGGGUUGGAAAGUUUCGGCGGUUGGGGAUGGACUCGCGGCUUAUCAGCUUGUUGGUGGGGUAGUGGCUUACCAAGGCUUUGACGGGUAGCCGGCCUGAGAGGGUGACCGGCCACAUUGGGACUGAGAUACGGCCCAGACUCCUACGGGAGGCAGCAGUGGGGAAUAUUGCACAAUGGGCGGAAGCCUGAUGCAGCAACGCCGCGUGCGGGAUGACGGCCUUCGGGUUGUAAACCGCUUUCGCCUGUGACGAAGCGUGAGUGACGGUAAUGGGUAAAGAAGCACCGGCUAACUACGUG